This 253-nucleotide ribosomal RNA is filed under the name uncultured bacterium. RNAcentral's name for it is "partial 16S ribosomal RNA". It matches the Rfam family "Bacterial small subunit ribosomal RNA", at positions 524 to 776 of the family's 1533-position model. The record is from RNAcentral.
UACGGGGGGGGCAAGCGUUGUUCGGAAUUACUGGGCGUAAAGGGCGCGUAGGCGGCCCAAUCAGUCGGGCGUGAAAGCUCUGGGCUUAACCCAGAAAUGUCGUUCGAUACUGUUGGGCUAGAGUGUGGAAGAGGCUACUGGAAUUCCGUGUGUAGCGGUGAAAUGCGUAGAUAUCGGGAGGAAUACCUAUGGCGAAAGCAGGCUACUGGACCGUCACUGACUCUGAUCUGCGAAAGCUAGGGGAGCAAACAGG